RNAcentral lists this ribosomal RNA (254 nucleotides) under uncultured bacterium. Its description in RNAcentral is "partial 16S ribosomal RNA". It matches the Rfam family "Bacterial small subunit ribosomal RNA", at positions 524 to 776 of the family's 1533-position model. The record is from RNAcentral.
UACGUAGGGUGCGGGCGUUAAUCGGAAUUACUGGGCGUAAAGGGCUCGUAGGCGGCCAACUAAGUCGGAUGUGAAAUCCCCAGGCUUAACCUGGGAACUGCAUCCGAUACUGGAUGGCUUGAAUUCGGGAGAGGGAUGCAGAAUUCCAGGUGUAGCGGUGAAAUGCGUAGAUAUCUGGAGGAAUACCGGUGGCGAAGGCGGCAUCCUGGACCGACAUUGACGCUGAGUGAGCGAAAGCUAGGGGAGCAAACGGG